This 422-nucleotide ribosomal RNA is filed under the name uncultured microorganism. RNAcentral describes it as "bacterial SSU rRNA". It matches the Rfam family "Bacterial small subunit ribosomal RNA", at positions 9 to 423 of the family's 1533-position model. The record is from RNAcentral.
GAGUUUGAUCGUGGCUCAGAUUGAACGCUGGCGGCAUGCCUUACACAUGCAAGUCGAACGGCAGCAUGAUCUAGCUUGCUAGAUUGAUGGCGAGUGGCGAACGGGUGAGUAAUACAUCGGAACGUGCCCUGUAGUGGGGGAUAACUAGUCGAAAGAUUAGCUAAUACCGCAUACGACCUGAGGGUGAAAGUGGGGGACCGCAAGGCCUCAUGCUAUAGGAGCGGCCGAUGUCUGAUUAGCUAGUUGGUGGGGUAAAGGGCCCACCAAGGCGACGAUCAGUAGCUGGUCUGAGAGGACGAUCAGCCACACUGGGACUGAGACACGGCCCAGACUCCUACGGGAGGCAGCAGUGGGGAAUUUUGGUACAAUGGGGCGAAAGACCUGAUCCAGCAAUGCCGCGUGUGUGAAGAAGGCCGUCGGUU